This 441-nucleotide ribosomal RNA is filed under the name uncultured bacterium. Its description in RNAcentral is "bacterial SSU rRNA". It matches the Rfam family "Bacterial small subunit ribosomal RNA", at positions 339 to 797 of the family's 1533-position model. The record is from RNAcentral.
UUACGGGAGGCAGCAGUUGGGAAUCUUGGACAAUGGGGGAAACCCUGAUCCAGCCAUGCCGCGUGAGUGAUGAAGGCCUUAGGGUUGUAAAGCUCUUUUACCCGGGAAGAUAAUGACUGUACCGGGAGAAUAAGCUCCGGCUAACUUCGUGCCAGCAGCCGCGGUAAUACGAAGGGGGCUAGCGUUGUUCGGAAUUACUGGGCGUAAAGCGUGCGCAGGCGGUCUCUCAAGUCAGGGGUGAAAGCCCAGAGCUCAACUCUGGAAAUGCCCUUGAAACUGUGAGGCUCGAGUGCGGGAGAGGUGAGUGGAAUUCCCAGUGUAGAGGUGAAAUUCGUAGAUAUUGGGAAGAACACCGGUGGCGAAGGCGGCUCACUGGCCCGUUUCUGACGCUCAUGCACGAUAGCGUGGGGAUCAAACAGGAUUAGAUACCCGUGUAGUCCA